ACUUCAAUUCCAACUUCGACUUCAAGUCCAGUUCCAACUUCAAAAAUUUAAAUUUUCAUAGUCAAACACCCAUAAUAUGAAGACCAUCUAAGAUAAAAGGGGGGAAGUAUAUUACGAAUUUCUAAGAAAAACUUAUUUUCUUUUGAAUUUUUCACUUCUUUCCUCCUAUCAUGACUUUAAUCCUCUAACUAUUAAAAUUAAACAUUAUUUUUAAAAUGAAAGCUGAGAUUUGUUCGAUGAUUAUUACAAAAAUCUGGUUUCAAAUAAAUUACUACAAAAUUAUCAAGUAAUUAAGUCAAUCAUAUAUUUGAUAAAAAUCAAAAUGUCCAUUUGCUAAUCAUAUUUGGCAUUAUUUCUCUUCAACUAUGGGUCUUACCCAUGUCUCUUCCUCAAUCAAAUACUUGUUAUUGCAGUGGUGAAAAACUAAAGCAGUUAAUAGAGCCCAUAAACUGGUGUUGCAGGCUUUGCCAAUUAUCAUAUGUUGGAACUUGUGGAAGAGCACGUGUGCUGUUAAAUAUGGUGACAAACAACCUUAACUAGCCAAGCUUAUGUGGAGAAAUGUAGACAGGACACGAGAGUCACAGCAGUGUAUUGAUCUAAACCAUCAGCUCCAGUGGUCAAAUUGAAUUCUGAUGGUAGUGCACUUACUAAUCCUGAAAGGAUUGGUGCAGGGGGUUAUUAGAAGUCACAAGGGUGAGCUCAUCUGUACUUAUGCUACUCUCCUGGGGCAUGGAACUAAUAACUAAGCAAAGGUCGAAGCUGCUAUAUGGGGUUUAUCUUGGUGCCUGAACAAUGAAAUUCAGUAGAUUGUGGUGGAGGUAGACUCUGAACUCUUGAUCAGGUGGAUAAGGAGCCAAUUAUCAGUACCAUGGCAUCUGCAACCUCUUGUGAAUUCCUUACAGAAGCUCAUUUCACAGUUUCACCUGUGCAUAUGUAGACAUAUCUACAGAGAAGCUAACUUUGUAGCAGAUGCUUUGUCCAAAACCAGUCAUCAGUGUGACCAGCCACAAUAUUAUUUUCACAGCUAUCAGCUCCCAUUAGAUGCUGCAAGAUAUUUUAAGCUUGAUCAAUUAGGCAUGCCAAGCUUCAGGAGAAAAAAGUUGACUAAGAUUCAUGAACCACCCUAAUGCAUAGACAAAACAGGAAAGAAGGGUCAGGCAAGUCAUACUAGUUUUGCAUACUUGUAUAUUGCACAUUCACAUAUUUUAGUUCAUACUUUCAUA
Molecule: long non-coding RNA, 1223 nt
Organism: Capsicum annuum
Lineage: Eukaryota; Viridiplantae; Streptophyta; Magnoliopsida; Solanales; Solanaceae
Exons: 2
Source: RefSeq, a predicted model, not a curated record